AACAUGGUCUUUUGAUAAUAAUUUAAGAUUGAGUCUGCUCCAUGAGUAAUUAAAUAGCCGCAGUAAUUUGACUGUGCAAAGGUAGCAUAAUAAUUAGUUUUUUAAUUGAAAGCUGGAAUGAAUGAUUUGACAAGGAAAUAACUGUCUCUUUAUUAAAAUAAUUGAAUUUAACUUUUAAGUGAAAAGGCUUAAAUGAUUAUAAAAGACGAGAAGACCCUAUAGAGUUUUAUUUUUCUAAAGUAAUAGGUAUAAAUUUUAUUAUGAAAAAUUUAAUUGGGGUGAUUGAAAGAUUAAAUAAACUCUUUUAUUUUUAAUUAUUAAUAUAUAAAUAAAUAUUAUUUAAUUUAAAUAUUAAAUUAAAUUACCUUAGGGAUAACAGCGUAAAAUUUCUUUAAAGUUCACAUUAAAAGAAUAUUUUGCGACCUCGAUGUUGGAUUAAAAUUAAUUUUAGGUGAAGAAGCUUAAAUAUUAAGUCUGUUCGACUUUUAAAAUUUUACAUGAUCUGA
Molecule: ribosomal RNA, 506 nt
Filed under: Cheguevaria sp. 3 OK-2020
Lineage: Eukaryota; Metazoa; Arthropoda; Insecta; Coleoptera; Lampyridae
Description: partial large subunit ribosomal RNA
Rfam family: Bacterial large subunit ribosomal RNA
Source: RNAcentral